Molecule: ribosomal RNA, 403 nt
Filed under: Verrucomicrobiota bacterium
Lineage: Bacteria; Pseudomonadati; Verrucomicrobiota
Description: Verrucomicrobia bacterium partial 16S ribosomal RNA
Rfam family: Bacterial small subunit ribosomal RNA
Source: RNAcentral
UGGGGAAUAUUGCACAAUGGGGGAAACCCUGUUGCAGCGACGCCGCGUGAGCGAAGAAGGCUUUCGAGUCGUAAAGCUCUGUCCUAUGAGAAGAUAAUGACGGUAUCAUAGGAGGAAGCCCUGGCUAAAUACGUGCCAGCAGCCGCGGUAAUACGUAUGGGGCUAGCGUUGUCCGGAAUCACUGGGCGUAAAGGGUUCGCAGGCGGAAAUGCAAGUCAGGUGUAAAAGGCAGUAGCUUAACUACUGUAAGCAUUUGAAACUGCAUAUCUUGAGAAGAGUAGAGGUAAGUGGAAUUUUUAGUGUAGCGGUGAAAUGCGUAGAUAUUAAAAAGAAUACCGGUGGCGAAGGCGACUUACUGGGCUCAUUCUGACGCUGAGGAACGAAAGCGUGGGUAGCAAACAGG